RNAcentral lists this transfer RNA (66 nucleotides) under Felis catus (domestic cat). It matches the Rfam family "tRNA", at positions 9 to 63 of the family's 71-position model. Rfam says of the family: Transfer RNA (tRNA) molecules are approximately 80 nucleotides in length. Their secondary structure includes four short double-helical elements and three loops (D, anti-codon, and T loops). RNAcentral also lists the same sequence under 3 other names. The record is from Rfam by way of RNAcentral. Lineage: Eukaryota; Metazoa; Chordata; Mammalia; Carnivora; Felidae.
GGCUCAGUUGGUUGAGCAUCUGACUUCGGCUCAGGUCAGAUCUCAGUUUGUGGGUUCGAACCCCAU